CUCACCCCCUGGCAGGAGGAGAGAUGCUGGCCCGUGUUAUUCUCAUUUUCCACAACACAGGAUUCUAGGCAGGGCCGGGAAUGCUCGACUCGGGGCAGCGGCCUUUGGCACCCUCCUCCCCCAGACCUCCCGCCCCCCCAACAGCACCCCAGCAGGGCAGCAGCUCCAUCCUGCGGGUGGCACACCGGGAGAUCCUGGGCCUGGCAUCACCACAUCCUUACAGUUCAGCGGAUCCCAAGGCAUGCAGCGGAGGGAGGCACCAUGAGGCUUUGUUGGCCUCUGGGGCUGGCUGGGAACAUCUCUGAUGAUGAUUCACCGGGAAGUCAGUAGUCAUCUCCUCUGUUUCGCAAAGAGGGGGGACUGGCAACACCGCAGGGUGACCUGCCUGAAGCCACAGAAGGAAGAGGAAUAACUGGGAGGAAAAACUCGAGCUGAAAAUCUGCAGCUGAGGUUGAAGGCCUGAGGCUCGUGAGCUGUUCUGGAAAGGGCUCGGCUCUCCCAGCGAAGGGCUUGUGUGACGUGACCAUGGUUCUCAGUGGAGCCCUGAGCAUCCAGGAGCUUCUCCAGGCCCUGUGGUCUCCCUCUGGCCAGGCCUGCAGACUUGCCCUUAGGCACAAAUCCCUGCCAGUAGUUCCCUUGCAGGCCAGCUCCUAGGAAAGAGGCCCACAGCCCAGACACUUUGCCCAGGUGGCUGGCAGCUCAGGAACUGGUAAGACUGGUUUCCAGUGCUGGCUCCGGGUGGGCAGAAGGCAGAGCUGCUGCUACCAAUUUAAAGGAGACUAGAAAAGCUUCUGGAAUCUACAACGCAGCCUACUGGCCACCUCCCCUGGACAUUCAACCCCUAGGAUAUGAUCCUGUAAGACGGUGACCUCUUUGUUAAACCAUCUGGGAAUAAAUUGUGUAGGAAUUUAUCCGACAUCCCCUUAGAGAAUUACCAGGGGUCUGAUUUUACUCCAAACCACUUGCUUUCGUCUCAGAAAAAGUUAAGACCACGAAGUAUUUUUAAACGGAUUUUCCCUGUUGGAUUCGAUGCUUAUAAGAAUCAGUUAUAAAAACUCUACACUCUACGUGAGACAGUUUAUUCUUCAGUGAAGACAAGGAAGCUCUAAGAAGAACACUGGGCCGCGGGAGGAAGGCUGGGCCGCCAGAGCGCAGGAAGCAUGGGAAGGAAGCACAGCGUGGAGGGGGAGUGCUGGGGACCCCAGCUGCCCGCAGCGUGGGGUUGGCUGGGUCCCUCGCCCUCUGCCCACUGCGCCGCUGAGCCUCAUCCUUCUCUCCCUCUUCACCCUGGUCUGUGCUGGCAGAUGCUCCUGCCAAAGCUUACUUCAUCGGAUGAAAUGAAGGGGAAAUCUGAUUUGCCACUAAUUGGACUUACUGUAGGCAAUUAAGGUUAAACUGACAUGAAGGGACUAUCAGACACUGGGAUUUUCAGUGUUUUUCUUUACAUUCCUGGGAACUUUUUCCAGAAUCUAAGUGAUUAUAAAUUGGGAUACUGAAUGCGGUAUCAGGGUCUGAAAUCACUUUAAGUCAGGACCCUGGAAGUAGUGUAUGCGUUCUCGUUGUGUAAGGUGACAUACACUGUACGUAUACAUGGUCUGUAUAAGGUUUAUGGGGUGUGUGUGCAUAAGAAUAUAUGCAGUAUAUAUAUAUAUAUAUAUAUAUAUAUAUAUAUAUAGUACAUGGGGUGUAUCUCUGUGGGGUGAGCUGGAUUUUUCUCUCUCUCUAGGUAAACAAGAGUGUUUAAUAA
Nyctereutes procyonoides (raccoon dog) is the source of this 1747-nucleotide long non-coding RNA. RefSeq lists it as uncharacterized. The transcript is spliced from 3 exons. The record is from RefSeq and is a predicted model, not a curated record. Lineage: Eukaryota; Metazoa; Chordata; Mammalia; Carnivora; Canidae.